Molecule: ribosomal RNA, 484 nt
Filed under: uncultured bacterium
Lineage: Bacteria
Description: bacterial SSU rRNA
Rfam family: Bacterial small subunit ribosomal RNA
Source: RNAcentral
AUUGAACGCUGGCGGAAUGCUUUACACAUGCAAGUCGAACGGCAGCACGGACUUCGGUCUGGUGGCGAGUGGCGAACGGGUGAGUAAUACAUCGGAACGUGCCCAAUCGUGGGGGAUAACGUAGCGAAAGCUACGCUAAUACCGCAUACGAUCUAAGGAUGAAAGCGGGGGAUCGCAAGACCUCGCGCGAAUGGAGCGGCCGAUGGCAGAUUAGGUAGUUGGUAGGGUAAAGGCCUACCAAGCCGACGAUCUGUAGCUGGUCUGAGAGGAUGAUCAGCCACACUGGGACUGAGACACGGCCCAGACUCCUACGGGAGGCAGCAGUGGGGAAUUUUGGACAAUGGACGCAAGUCUGAUCUAGCCAUUCCGCGUGCAGGAUGAAGGCCCUCGGGUUGUAAACUGCUUUUGUACAGAACGAAAAGGCUCUGGUUAAUACCUGGGGCUCAUGACGGUACUGUAAGAAUAAGCACCGGCUAACUACGUG